UCGGGAAUUUUGGGCAAUGGGCGAAAGCCUGACCCAGCAACGCCGCGUGAGGGAUGAAGUAUCUCGGUAUGUAAACCUCGAAAGAAUGGGAAGAAUAAAUGACGGUACCAUUUAUAAGCUCCGGCUAACUACGUGCCAGCAGCCGCGGUAAUACGUAGGGAGCAAGCGUUGUUCGGAUUUACUGGGCGUAAAGGGCGCGUAGGCGGCGCGGUAAGUCACUUGUGAAAUCUCUGAGCUUAACUCAGAACGGCCAAGUGAUACUGCUGUGCUAGAGUGCGGAAGAGGCAACCGGAAUUCUUGGUGUAGCGGUGAAAUGCGUAGAUAUCAAGAGGAACACCUGGGGCGAAGGCGGGUUGCUGGGCCGACACUGACGCUGAUGCGCGAAAGCCAGGGGAGCAAA
Molecule: ribosomal RNA, 400 nt
Filed under: uncultured bacterium
Lineage: Bacteria
Description: bacterial SSU rRNA
Rfam family: Bacterial small subunit ribosomal RNA
Source: RNAcentral